GCAGUCGUGGCCGAGUGGUUAAGGCGAUGGACCAGAAAUUCUGCACAGGUUUGAAUCCUGUCGACUGCG
RNAcentral lists this transfer RNA (69 nucleotides) under Ixodes scapularis (black-legged tick). It matches the Rfam family "tRNA". From Rfam's summary of the family: Transfer RNA (tRNA) molecules are approximately 80 nucleotides in length. Their secondary structure includes four short double-helical elements and three loops (D, anti-codon, and T loops). Further hydrogen bonds mediate the characteristic L-shaped molecular structure. tRNAs have two regions of fundamental functional importance: the anti-codon, which is responsible for specific mRNA codon recognition, and the 3' end, to which the tRNAs corresponding amino acid is attached (by aminoacyl-tRNA synthetases). tRNAs cope with the degeneracy of the genetic code in two manners: having more than one tRNA (with a specific anti-codon) for a particular amino acid; and 'wobble' base-pairing, i.e. permitting non-standard base-pairing at the 3rd anti-codon position. Lineage: Eukaryota; Metazoa; Arthropoda; Arachnida; Ixodida; Ixodidae. The record is from Rfam by way of RNAcentral.